RNAcentral lists this ribosomal RNA (253 nucleotides) under uncultured bacterium. RNAcentral describes it as "partial 16S ribosomal RNA". It matches the Rfam family "Bacterial small subunit ribosomal RNA", at positions 524 to 776 of the family's 1533-position model. The record is from RNAcentral.
UACGAAGGGGGCUAGCGUUGCUCGGAAUUACUGGGCGUAAAGCGCACGUAGGCGGAUUGUUAAGUCGGGGGUGAAAUCCUGGAGCUCAACUCCAGAACUGCCUUCGAUACUGGCGAUCUCGAGUUCGGGAGAGGUGAGUGGAACUGCGAGUGUAGAGGUGAAAUUCGUAGAUAUUCGCAAGGACACCAGUGGCGAAGGCGGCUCACUGGCCCGAUACUGACGCUGAGGUGCGAAAGCGUGGGGAGCAAACAGG